UACAGAGGUCCCAGGCGUUGUUCGGAUUCACUGGGCGUAAAGGGUGCGUAGGCGGUCGGGUAAGUCUGAUGUGAAAUCUCACAGCUUAACUGUGAAACUGCAUUGGAUACUAUCCGGCUCGAGGAAUGGAGGGGAGACUGGAAUACUUGGUGUAGCAGUGAAAUGCGUAGAUAUCAGGAGGAACACCGGUGGCGAAGGCGGGUCUCUGGGCCGAUACUGACGCUGAGGAGCGAAAGCGUGGGGAGCGAACAGG
This 253-nucleotide ribosomal RNA is filed under the name uncultured bacterium. Its description in RNAcentral is "partial 16S ribosomal RNA". It matches the Rfam family "Bacterial small subunit ribosomal RNA", at positions 524 to 776 of the family's 1533-position model. The record is from RNAcentral.